AGAGUCGGAGUUAGAGUCAUAAAUCCACCACUUUGCAGCCCUGUUUCCAGAUGUGUGACAAGUAUGCUUCAAAAGUGUUUCUACCUUGAUGGUCUCUAAUGGUUUCAAGUGUGUUUUGAGUAUGGACUGGGUAUCUAUUAGUUCCCAAUUGGUACCCUAAUGGUUUCUAAUGGUUUUUAAACAUUUGCUUAAAUAACAGACAUAGAGGUAAUGGGAAGACCUUUGACUGGUUAUACUUGAUAAGCAUCACUACAAGGCCUUGGUUUUUCAUUAAAUAAAAAUGAUUCGCAAAAUCCACGUCGUUUCCGCUCAUUUAAACAGCACUACUUUUUCUCUGUGUGCCUACGCUGGCGGCGCCCGACCGUUGGCGACUUGGCGCCCGGCCGGCCGCGCCGGCGCCACAGUUCAAACCGGGCGUCGACGUCGGCCGGCCGGCCGGCGCGCCACCGUUUCGCGUUCGCUGGGCCUGGGACUGCCCGCGGUCGACCGGGACCCAGUCCUGCUGUAAAAGAGGAAGCUGAGCAGAAUCACGCGGCUGGCACGAACUUGCACCAGAGAGACGCCGUCUACCGGUUCUACACGGGUCCAGAUGGGCUGCAUGCCUGCAUUAUAGCUACGUUCUGACUUCUGAAAAUUCUGAUCGCCACGGAAGAUUAAGAAAUCUGUCAGAACAACAGACAGUAUCACCGAUCGGAAUGAUAUUGUAUCACGUCGUUCAUUGUGCCUAUGUGGAAUAGCGUACGUAUGGCCCAGUGUAUAACUACAUUGUAAUUCUGUUCUUGAUUCUGAUAGCAGUCGCCUCAUCGAUGUGGUGUUGACCAAACAACAAUGUCCAUGUGUAGUUAAUGUCUAAUGUUGGUAGGUACGUACUGAUGAAAAUGUAUAAGCUUGCAGAGUAAAACAAUAAAAAUAAUUCAUGGUG
Molecule: long non-coding RNA, 922 nt
Organism: Amphibalanus amphitrite
Lineage: Eukaryota; Metazoa; Arthropoda; Thecostraca; Balanomorpha; Balanidae
Exons: 2
Source: RefSeq, a predicted model, not a curated record